RNAcentral lists this long non-coding RNA (2283 nucleotides) under Musa acuminata (dwarf banana). RNAcentral's name for it is "long non-coding RNA (MACU_LNC002714)". The record is from RNAcentral. Lineage: Eukaryota; Viridiplantae; Streptophyta; Magnoliopsida; Zingiberales; Musaceae.
AAAUUUAGAUAAAUGAACUGGGUGGAAUCUUCUUCUUAAAGUUUUCCUUUUUAUUUGCGGACUGAUACUGAUUGCUGGCUUUUAUCAGAUUCUGGAUUUAGUAUUACAGACAUGUGGAAGACAACAGGUAUCCUUUUUAAGUUAUUGCUCAUUUCAUCCUUUCUGACCAGUUUCAAACGUCACUUGGAACUCAGCUCAAAUUUUAGCAGGGGUAGAAUGGGAUGGAAUCAGCGAGUUUAGUACAGAUGACAUUGUUACGGUUAGUGCUAGCACACCUUAGCUGCAGGUUCCAUCUGGUGUUAUGGGGACUGGUACACUGUAAUCUAGAGAUAGAAGAUUCGUUUGUUGGUGGGGACAAUCAGGUUCCAUCAAGAUCCCCAACAUCACUGCCACAAAGAUCAAGCUUGGUAACAAUCUGAUGAUCGAUGGUUUUGGUGGUGAGGAUAUUUGCAAGAGCAGUAUCGAUUGCCAGAAGGAACAGCUGCAGUUACUGUGUACAGUAUAAUAGUAAAUCUUGGUGUAUUAUUGUUCAUGCCUGAUAUUGAGUGAGUCCUCACUUAUUAGUUCAUAGGUUUCAGAUAUGGUUGUUGGCUUCUGCCAAGUGACUGCAUCAUAUAUACACCACUGAUCUUGAGUCCAAUCUUGUUUGAAGAGUUUAGAGAACAAAAUCUCUUGGGUUGUGUGCAUUCUAUGUAUAGAGACUAGAAAGAGCUCUUGGACCUGUCCUUCAACGGUCCAUCUUUCUGGAGGACACAAGGAAGUGUGUGCGUCAAACAUGCAUGCAAACGGUUGUAUCCUGUUAGGUUGCAACUAUGAGUGCAUUUGAUCACUGUAUUUAAACUAUGUUAUUGGUUUCCAUACAAUUUGCUCCUACAUUUUACCAAUAUGAUGCAAGACCCUUUGCAGUCCAUUCACCUCGGUGAUAAAAUUUCAAUGUCUGAGAUUCAUUGCCUCAUUAAACUAUAGGUAGAUGCUUUAUCAUGAAAAUCUAUCUGCAUCAUGGCUAUUUGCAGGUAACCAAACUGGUCUUGGAUACUUGUUCAGCAAGGCAGAGACUCCAUCAAGCAUAUCUUCUACGUCAUGGCUAGGUAACCAAACUUGUCUUAGACCUUGUUCAGCAAAUUAAUCAUUGUUUAAUUGUUAAUCAUUUGUGCAACUGAGGUAUCUGAGAGGUCUAAAUAAUUACUAGUGCUAGAAUUCAUGAAGCUAAUUCCAUACAAAAUGAAUGAUGUCAAUGUUCUUUGACUAGUCUUGAGUAGUAGCUGAGUGGCCAAGAAUAAACACAGCCGAGUAUGACUAAUCGAAAUGAUUAGUUCUUAGUGUUUGGCUCUGGCUAGCGUAUUUAGUUUCGGUUGAUGGUGCCGAAAACAUCUGGAGCUGUGGUCCAUAGAAGAACCACAUUUGUAAUUCUUAUCACAUAAUUUUCUGGUGCAUUCUAAGUUGGAUGAAAGUUUCAGGGUGAUGUAUAGAUAGCUGGUUUUUGAAGAUGUCCCUGGGGUGCAGUUAGUAUACCUGCAGAGUCAGAGUGCACCCAUGUUUUCGCCCUAAUGGAUUGAAGACGGCGACAGCAACAAUAAGCUACUGUUCCCAACUGUUCAUAUCUGCUUCACAAAUACUUUCUCAUUAGCCAACUCUGUCAAGGACAAAAGUCACUACUUUUCGGUUCCCUUUUUGGAGGCUUCAGGUAUCUGAACUUUUUACACUCAGCUUACUGUGGUCUUUUGUUUCCUGUUCACAGUUUCUCUAAAAGAAACUGUGAUUUCUUUGUGGCCUUCUGAACUCUGGUACAUCAGUCCAAUCAACUCGAAUGUUAGAAACCUCAAGACCUAAUUUGUCUAGCUUGGAUACUCAAUGCUAAAUAGAUAGGUGAGCAGUAAAUAUUCCCCAUGAAUAAUGCAGGCGCCCUGUUCUGACAUGGUCCUAAAGAAAUCACGAGAGACAGCAGUGGGAAACCCGUGGUGGUCACAGACCUCAUGACUGACGAGAAGCGAGAGGUUGAAACCCAUGGCAGUGACCAUCAAUGGACCACCUUUUGGCUUUACCAAGAACCCUGUGAGCUUGAUGAAACAUAGGUACUUUCACGCAAAUGCCUGUUCCCUUUUAUAAAUGUCCAUGCGUUAUAUCAAUCUUUAAGAUAAGUAGUUUCUGGACAAAUGGCUUUGACUUCAUAUUCCUAUCUUCUGAACUAAUCUCAUACGAUAAUAAGUGUACAAAACAAAAGUCCACAUGCUAAUCACUUACAGCAGUUGCAGAGGUGAAGAUUGUAGAGCAUGAUGAUGUUGG